RNAcentral lists this ribosomal RNA (253 nucleotides) under uncultured bacterium. RNAcentral's name for it is "partial 16S ribosomal RNA". It matches the Rfam family "Bacterial small subunit ribosomal RNA", at positions 524 to 776 of the family's 1533-position model. The record is from RNAcentral.
UACGGGGGGGGCAAGCGUUGUUCGGAAUUACUGGGCGUAAAGCGUGCGCAGGCGGUUUGUUAAGACAGAUGUGAAAUCCCCGGGCUUAACCUGGGAACUGCAUUUGUGACUGGCAAGCUAGAGUAUGGCAGAGGGGGGUAGAAUUCCACGUGUAGCAGUGAAAUGCGUAGAGAUGUGGAGGAAUACCGAUGGCGAAGGCAGCCCCCUGGGCCAAUACUGACGCUCAUGCACGAAAGCGUGGGGAGCAAACAGG